CUCAGCGUGGGAAUGGUGGUGUGUGUGCGGUGAAACGUUAGUCUGAAUCAUGCUUUACAGCGUUAAGAGUCGUUACUUUCAGGGUUUUUGUCUCGCCAGCGACUUCUGUCGCAGAAAGCGAGACUUAGGAAUAGUGAUCCGGUGGCGUUAGCGCUUGAUUUAAAAGCUUUAUUUUCCAGAAGGUAGAUGACCUGGAUAAUUCAUACUUUAUAUAUAGAUGCCUUAUGUUACGAACUUUUCGUCUG
This 245-nucleotide long non-coding RNA is filed under the name Mytilus galloprovincialis (Mediterranean mussel). Lineage: Eukaryota; Metazoa; Mollusca; Bivalvia; Mytilida; Mytilidae. The record is from RNAcentral.